CACAGAUCCAGCCCGGGGGAGCAGCAACUAGGCAUAGAAACUCAGAGAUGAAGGCAUUCUUUCUCUUCUUCCUUCUCUGCCUUGGGGCCCUGAUGGAGAUUGAGGCUUCCACCGCACUCUCAACAACUGUAAAGCCUACGACGUCAUCCCAGACGUUCCAUGGACCCUAUACCUGGAGCAUCUUCAUCCUCGCCGGGCUCCUGACUUACCUCCUUCGGCUGCAAUGAGGCCUGGGACCAAGACCAUGGAGACCGCCAGCCUUGGCUCCUGUUCACCCACUCUUCAGCACCGGCCUCCCCUUCUCCCAGAGGGCCCAUUCCUCUUGGCUACAGUAGACUCCUUCACCUUGGCACUUGCCCUGAUCCCCCACCCCAGCUGAGCAUCCCACAGCCUUCUCGGGAGCUUGAUCCCCCUGUCAUCAAGGGUCAUGGAUUUAUUCCCCUUGAUAUUCUGAGGGUUAUAGUGAUGAGAGAGCAAAGUACUGACCUGCUUGACUCAAUAAAGCUAUUAAUGCCCUGUG
Long non-coding RNA from Trichosurus vulpecula (common brushtail), 520 nucleotides. RefSeq lists it as uncharacterized. NCBI's taxonomy places the organism in Eukaryota, Metazoa, Chordata, Mammalia, Diprotodontia, Phalangeridae. The record is from RefSeq and is a predicted model, not a curated record. The transcript has 2 exons.